RNAcentral lists this ribosomal RNA (468 nucleotides) under uncultured bacterium. RNAcentral's name for it is "partial 16S ribosomal RNA". It matches the Rfam family "Bacterial small subunit ribosomal RNA", at positions 28 to 507 of the family's 1533-position model. The record is from RNAcentral.
GACGAACGCUGGCGGCGUGCUUAACACAUGCAAGUCGAACGGACAGGCCCUGCGUUUGUGGGUUUCUCGAGUGGCGAACGGGUGAGUGACACGUGAGUAACCUGCCCUUAACUUUGUGGUAACUUCAGGAGACUGGGGCUAAUACCGGGUAUGAUCUCCUGCUGCGUAUUGUUGAUUGGUAAGAGUCGGCGGUUGGGGAUCGACUGGAGGGUUAUGAGCUUGUUUGUGUAGUAGUGGAUUACCAAGGUUUUGAAGGGUAGCCGGCCUGAGAGGGUGACCGGCGACAUUGGGACUAAGAGAGGGAGCAGACGCGUACGGGAGGCAGCAGUGGGGAGUAUUGCACAAUGGGCGCACGCCUGAUGUAGCAACGUUGCGUGCGGGAUGCUGGCUUUCGGGUGGUAAACCGAUUUCGAAGUAGAUGAAGAGGGAGUGACGGUAACGGGUAAAGAAGCAACGGCUAACUACGUG